AAUAUAUAAAUAUAUUAAUAUAAAUAUUAUUUUUAUGAUAAUAUAUUUAUAUUUAAAUUUUAUUAUAUAAUAUAAAUUAAUUAAAUUUGAUAUAUUAUUUAUUUUAUUAAGUUUUAUCAUUUAUAUAUUAAUAUUUAAUUAUUUUAUAUUAUAUUAAAUAUUAUAUAUGUAAAAUUAUUUUUUCAUGUAUUAUAUAUUUUUUAAUUUGUAUUGAAAUUUGUACUAUUAUUNUUUCUAAAUAUAUUUAUAACCUUACAAGGCUUUUUUAUUCCCCUCUUUUUUUUUCCCUUUUUUUUUUUUAUAUUUUUCCCCU
Molecule: long non-coding RNA, 313 nt
Filed under: Ananas comosus (pineapple)
Lineage: Eukaryota; Viridiplantae; Streptophyta; Magnoliopsida; Poales; Bromeliaceae
Description: long non-coding RNA (ACOM_LNC006337)
Source: RNAcentral